This 403-nucleotide ribosomal RNA is filed under the name uncultured bacterium. RNAcentral describes it as "partial 16S ribosomal RNA". It matches the Rfam family "Bacterial small subunit ribosomal RNA", at positions 28 to 526 of the family's 1533-position model. The record is from RNAcentral.
GACGAACGCUGGCGGCGUGCCUAAUACAUGCAAGUCGAACGCAGUGGGGACGGGUGAGUAACACGUGGGUAACCUCCCAUCAGAGGGGAUAACACUUGGAAACAGGUGCUAAACCGAUACUGAUGGAUGGACCCGCGGUGCAUUAGCUAGUUGGUGAGGUAACGGCUCACCAAGGCCACGAUGCAUAGCCGAGCUGAGACGGUGAGCGGCAACAACGGGACUGAGAACCGGCCCAGAAUCCUACGGGAGGCAGCAGUAGGGAAGCUUCGGAAAUGUACGAAAGUAUGACCGAGCAACGCCCGGGGAGUGAAGAAGGUUUUCGGAUCGUAAAGCUCUGUUGUGAGAGAAGCGGUAACUAACCAGAAAGGGACGGCUAACUACGUGCCAGCAGCCGCGGUAAUAC